This is a long non-coding RNA of Stylophora pistillata, 472 nucleotides long. The record is from RefSeq and is a predicted model, not a curated record. NCBI's taxonomy places the organism in Eukaryota, Metazoa, Cnidaria, Anthozoa, Scleractinia, Pocilloporidae.
UCCAACCAGAGUUAAUAGAGGGAACCUCUAUUUAACUCUGCUCCAACACUCAAGUGUUACUUGAGUGGCCAGUGCCAGGCCUUGGUCAGUAAACCGAGUGAGAAAGCGGCUGCCUGAGUGAUCAAAGCCAUUUCUCUGACAGUCGUCUUCCCUUAAGUUGUUCAUGCACUUCCUUCAGUUUGGUUUAUACAGGUAGCCAUUAAGCGUGGUGCAGUAUCUGUUCACGAGCCAUGGGAUGAAGCAGCUGAAGAUGAUACAGUGACUUUUGCCACUGUCCAGACAUAUGGAGACACAUUACACCCAAAUUUGUUGAAAGAAAGGAAUUCAGUGGUCUCUUUCUACCUGGCAACAAGUCUCUAAUAGCCAAAGAUUGCCUUCUUUCCAAACUACCACCAGGCCUUCUUCAUUUUAUUGAUCAUGUCAUUGGUAACCAGCCAGAAAAUGCUAUGGUGUCCAUUGCCGAAUAGUAAGU